CCUACGGGCGGCAGCAGUGGGGAAUAUUGCACAAUGGGCGAAAGCCUGAUGCAGCAACGCCGCGUGAGCGAUGAAGGCCUUCGGGUCGUAAAGCUCUGUCCUCAAGGAAGAUAAUGACGGUACUUGAGGAGGAAGCCCCGGCUAACUACGUGCCAGAAGCCGCGGUAAUACGUAGGGGGCUAGCGUUAUCCGGAUUUACUGGGCGUAAGGGGUGCGUAGGUGGUUUCUUAAGUCAGAGGUGAAAGGCUACGGCUAAACCGUAGUAAGCCUUUGAAAAUGGUGAACGUGAGUGCAGGAGAGGAGAGUGGAAUUCCUGGUGUAGCGGUGAAAUGCGUAGAUAUCAGGAGGAACACCGAUUGCGAAGGCAGCUCUCUGGACUGUAACUGACACUGAGGCACGAAAGCGUGGGGAGCAAACAGGAUUAGAUACCCCGGUAGUC
RNAcentral lists this ribosomal RNA (439 nucleotides) under uncultured bacterium. RNAcentral describes it as "partial 16S ribosomal RNA". It matches the Rfam family "Bacterial small subunit ribosomal RNA", at positions 338 to 795 of the family's 1533-position model. The record is from RNAcentral.